GACGUAGGGCGCGAGCGUUGUCCGGAUUUAUUGGGCGUAAAGAGCUCGUAGGCGGUUUGUCGCGUCGUCCGUGAAAACUCACAGCUUAACUGUGAGCUUGCGGUCGAUACGGGCAGGCUAGAGUUCGGUAGGGGAGACUGGAAUUCCUGGUGUAGCGGUGAAAUGCGCAGAUAUCAGGAGGAACACCGGUGGCGAAGGCGGGUCUCUGGGCCGAUACUGACGCUGAGGAGCGAAAGCGUGGGGAGCGAGCAGG
This 253-nucleotide ribosomal RNA is filed under the name uncultured bacterium. Its description in RNAcentral is "partial 16S ribosomal RNA". It matches the Rfam family "Bacterial small subunit ribosomal RNA", at positions 524 to 776 of the family's 1533-position model. The record is from RNAcentral.